Molecule: long non-coding RNA, 279 nt
Filed under: Elaeis guineensis (African oil palm)
Lineage: Eukaryota; Viridiplantae; Streptophyta; Magnoliopsida; Arecales; Arecaceae
Description: long non-coding RNA (EGUI_LNC051888)
Source: RNAcentral
ACUGGUAUGAUCUCAUCAUGAUCCUAAAAUCAUUAUCCUAAUCUAUGAAAUUUAUCAUAAUCAUAAAAAUAUGAUGCAGCAAAUGAUAAAACACAGUUCCUCAUGAAUAAAAUAACUAAUGUCAUGAAAAUGAGUAAGAAGAUAUCAUAAAAAAGUUCCUUCGCAUCACUCAUGCGAUUGGAUUGUAGGGUACUAUUCUUUCAAUCUUCUACUUGCACUAAAGCCAAAUCACCCCUACACCUGAUGCCUGUGCAAUUAGGGUGGCGAACACACUGCUAC